CCACAGCCAUUUCACCCUACAGCCCAAGACAGGUAGCUCAUUGAAGCUAUGCAGGGCAGAGUCUGGUUAGUACCUGUAUUGGAGAUCACAUUGAAAAAUUAGGUUGCUGUUUGGU
Molecule: ribosomal RNA, 115 nt
Filed under: Danio rerio (zebrafish)
Lineage: Eukaryota; Metazoa; Chordata; Actinopteri; Cypriniformes; Danionidae
Source: RNAcentral